AACGAACGCUGGCGGCGUGGAUAAGACAUGCAAGUGGGACGCUAAUCAAAGGGUAGCAAUAUUCGUUGGUUGGAGUCGCGUAAGGGUGCGUAACACGUGGGUAAUUUGCCGUGAAGCUUGGAAUAACUUGCCGAAAGGUAAGCUAAUACCGAAUGUGACUUGUGCUGGGCAUCCAGUAUCAGUCAAAGCCGGGGAUCGUAAGACCUGGCACUUCAUGAUAAGCCCGCGGCCUAUCAGCUAGUUGGUGAGGUAACGGCUCACCAAGGCUAAGACGGGUAGCUGGUCUUAGAGGACGACCAGCCACACUGGAACUGAGACACGGUCCAGACACCUACGGGUGGCAGCAGUCGAGAAUUUUUCACAAUGGGCGAAAGCCUGAUGGAGCGACGCCGCGUGGGGGAUGAAUGGCUUCGGCCCGUAAACCCCUGUCAUUCGGGAUCAAAUCUGGUAACCUAACACGUUAUCAGUUGAUAGUACUGAAAGAGGAAGGGACGGCUAACUCUGUGCCAGCAGCCGCGGUAAUACAGAGGUCCCAAGCGUUGUUCGGAUCUACUGGGCGUAAAGGGAGCGUAGGUGGCAUUCUAAGUCUGAUGUGAAAGCUCUGAGCUUAACUCAGAAAUGGCAUUAGAAACUAGUUUGCUUGAGGAUUGGAGGGGAGAUUGGAAUUCUUGGUGUAGCAGUGAAAUGCGUAGAUAUCAAGAGGAACACCAGUGGCGAAGGCGAAUCUCUGGACAAUUCCUGACACUGAUGCUCGAAAGCUAGGGGAGCAAACGGGAUUAGAUACCCCGGUAGUCCUAGCUGUAAACGG
This 808-nucleotide ribosomal RNA is filed under the name uncultured Verrucomicrobiota bacterium. RNAcentral describes it as "bacterial SSU rRNA". It matches the Rfam family "Bacterial small subunit ribosomal RNA", at positions 28 to 809 of the family's 1533-position model. Lineage: Bacteria; Pseudomonadati; Verrucomicrobiota. The record is from RNAcentral.